RNAcentral lists this long non-coding RNA (584 nucleotides) under Homo sapiens (human). RNAcentral's name for it is "non-protein coding lnc-EDIL3-10:1". Lineage: Eukaryota; Metazoa; Chordata; Mammalia; Primates; Hominidae. The record is from RNAcentral.
AGGUGUGUCAGAGGUUGGACAGGUGGCCUAAGUCUCCUUUGGACCUCAUGCCAGAAAGCCGGUCCCAAUUGUAAAUGUUAUUGAUCAAAACAGGGCUUUGAUUAAUGGACAUUGCACUAGGGUAAGGAGACAGGCCGCUCCUUUCAAAUGCAUGCGGCUCACUGACUUCAUCCUCAAGUUCGUACACAGCACCCUAAAGAAGUAUGUCCGACAAGCCUGGCAGGAGGCCAAUGUCAGUACAAAAUGGGCAGCCACAAGGCAGGACAAAAAGAUUGAAGCCAUAGAAAGGAAAGCCAAGAUGACAGAUUUUGAUAAUUUUAUAGUUAUGAAUGCAAAUAAAAUGAGGAGCAGAAUAAUCAAGAAUGAAAUUAAGAAGCUUCAAGAGGCAGCUGUCAUGAAAACUUCUCCUGAAAAAACACCUGCUGCUAAAGGUGCUGCUGCAGCUUCUUAAAGAGGACCACUGCAGGAAAGAAGGCUCCAGCCUAGAAGCCUCCUUCCCAGGAAACCACAGGCCAGAAGGCAGGUCCUCUUCCAAAAGCUGAGAAGGGUCAGAAAACUCCAGUUCCGAGAGCACCUGCUCCAAA